AUACGUAGGGAGCAAGCGUUGUCCGGAAUUGCUGGGCGUAAAGGGCGUGUAGGCGGCCGAUCAAGUCAGGUGUGAAAUUUCAGGGCUCAACCCUGAGCGUGCACUUGAAACUGGUUGGCUUGAGUGCAGAAGAGGAAAGUGGAAUUCCCAGUGUAGCGGUGAAAUGCGUAGAUAUUGGGAGGAACACCAGUGGCGAGGGGGACUUUCGGGUCUGGAACGGACGCGGAGGCGCGAAAGCUAGGGGAGCGAACAGGAUUAGAUACCCUGGUAGUCCUAGCCGUAAACGAUGGGUACUAGGUGUAGGGGGUUUAGACGCCCUCUGUGCCGCAGUUAACACAUUAAGUACCCCGCCUGGGGAGUACGGCCGCAAGGCUGAAACUCAAAGGAAUUGACGGGG
RNAcentral lists this ribosomal RNA (397 nucleotides) under uncultured bacterium. RNAcentral's name for it is "partial 16S ribosomal RNA". It matches the Rfam family "Bacterial small subunit ribosomal RNA", at positions 523 to 918 of the family's 1533-position model. The record is from RNAcentral.